AUUUGAAUUUUUGUUUUAAAGGAGAAACUGCCUCUCUGCCAUGCUUUGCCCCCUACCCUUUACCUCCCAUAUCUCCGUGUGAGAUAUGAACCACUUCCAAACAAGUUAAACUUGAAGCCCUACUUAGUUUCUCAGGCUCAUUACCAAGGAUUUAAAACCUCUCUAUUCAUUCAACAACAAUGGUUUCCAUGGCAAUUACUGCAACACAUGACAUUCCCUGCAGCUCUGCUUAAAAAUGCACCCACAGAAAUGGCUACACAUCAACACAGUCCUCAGCAAAGGCUAGGCUGGGAGGGUUUCCCUCUUCCUGGUGGCUGGCGCUAAGAAAUUAAUCAUAAUAAUUUUAAAAAUUUAAUCAAUCAUUUUGAUUUCUUUGUGCGGUAUCAGUUUUCUCCUUUUUCUUUCAACCCAUCACACCAGUGAAGAUAUCGUUUCUUGUAGCAAAUCAUUUGAGUUGCAUUUCUAUGAAAGUGGCCAGGGAUGAAGACAAAUUACUGACCAUAAUUUCUGUCACCUGUUACCCCUCGCAUCUGUUUCUGACUCUGUAGUCAUUUCCCUCAGCCCUUUUUCUGUCUAAGAGAAACACACAUUCUGAAAGAAUAAGUAGCGUGCCAAAGUAGAAACCCAGACAGAGCAGAGAAACACCCUCUGCACAGUCUGUCUGCUCUGCCUACAUCCCACCAAAAAAGCAAACAGCAGGUGCACUUAAAAAACAUCUGCAAGAGAUAACUAGUCAAAUGAAUACACAAGUCAGUGAGGCUCCUUUUUAUUGAAAGCAGCAGUGUGCAGGUACCAGAGCAAGAGCUUUACAUUAAUCAUUUCAUCAUGAUCCUAUGAGUUUAGUAUGUUCACCACUGUACAAAUUAAGAAAUGGAUGCUCAAAGGAGAUAAAGAAAUUUGCUUGUGAUCAUGCAGCCAGAUGUCAGAAUUGGGAUUUUUUUUUUUUUUCACCCAAAUAGGCUGGACUCCAGAACUGAUGUUCUUGAAUUAACUGAUAGAGACUUAUUUUCUCACUCAGGCUUGAGAGAAGAUAGAGUGGGGGGAGGCGGACCGUCAAGCGGUCCAGGCUAUUAUCUGAGUUCUUGGACAGUUCCCUGUAUGCUGGCUGGGACAAUUCUAAACACGUCUCUGCAGCCUCAUUCCUUGCUUUGCCUGGGACAUGUUAAUAGCGAUGUUGACCUGCUUCCCUGGGUUAUGUAAUGACAGACGGUGAAAUAAACAAUAGGUGAGGGUUUUGAAAGACUAAGCGGUAGUGACGGUGAUCUUAAACCCACAGGUAGAGACAAAAGCAAAGGCAAGACGGAGGGGAAACAUAUAUCACAAGAAUGCUUUCAAAUGAAUGGCGAGAGGGGCUUGCCCCAAAGAGAAUGAAUGGUGUAAUCCAAUUACCCUCAUUCUGUCAAGCCCUAGGCAGAUGUGUUGGAUGCGAAGUGCAGCUCCCGAAUCAAGCUUUUGUAAGACCUGGCUCUGGAGAUGGAAAAGGCCCCCAUGAGAAAUCUAUCCGGGUCACUCCUGGCUGUUUCUGGUCCAGGAAAUACAUAAGACCCUGGAAGAGUUUACUCAUGUGUGUUCAUUUCUCCACAAGGAAGAAUUUGGGGCAUCAAGGUUUCCUUUUAACAAGCAUGGCAGUGCUGCAGGUAUCAGUUCUCUUCCAUUGGGAGCCUGUUCGUGUAACCAUUAAAUAAGAGCUACAUUAGCUUCAUAUGAAGGUAAUAGCUAUGCUUACCUAAUUUCCCAUUGACUUGACUUAGGCUCAGUCCUUAGUGAUGGAUGAUAGCAUUAAUUAAGGGUCAGCAAUUAGGGAGGCAGUUGAGGCUACUGUGCUUGAUUUUAUGUUUUAGUCAGCAGAAAUUAAACAUGGUUUCAGCUUUGCAUCAUGUUCUCCUUGUCCUGCACUUUAGAAGCACUUUGGACAUAAUCCAGAACCAUGUCCCAACACCUACUCGCCAAUGUAUUUAUAUGAAAAACAUUUAUUCUGUACCUGAGGCUAUAAAACAGAAUGCUGCAUGGUUGCUACCCUCAAGGAGCUCAGAAUCUGGAAUAACCAUACAAGACUUCAACCAAAAUCAUUUAAAAAGAAGGCCUCAGGGGAGUUUCCUGGUGGCUCAGUGGGUUAGGGACCUGGCAUUGUCAUGGCUGUGGCUCAGGUUACUACUAUGAGGCUUGUUCAGUUCCUGGCCUGGAAACUUCUGCAUGCUGCAGCUGUGGCCAAUAAAAAAAGGCCCAGGAAAAUGUGAACUAUAAUCUAUAGGGACAUGAUCAAGCUGAGACCCAAGAAAUGGGGAUUUUUUAUGGCUUCCUAUUCAUUUAUACAGUAAAGAGGUAGGAAAAUUGUUUCUUGCUUUCCAAUGAUUGUGCCACAUUCUUCUAAGGACCUUCUGUGACAGUAUGAAAUAAAGGCACUUGGGAAUUUUAGCCUUCAGAAAAAAGAUGAAGCAAUCACAUUGGUAAACUUUCAGGUUGAUUGUUUUUGCCCAUAACUUUCAUAAAUGGAUUAUAGCUGAAUUCUAUGUUAAGUCCAAAAGACUUGAGAUUUUCCAAGGCUAUUAUUUUGGAGUAUUUUUUAAAAUGCUCCUGGAAAUUGUUUUACCUUCUUGGAAAUACAUAACUUCUUCUAGAAUAGAUUUCUUUCAUUUAUCCCUACUCAAAUUUCUAGGUUUUCUUAGAUUAUACACAUUACAGCCAAAGAACAUAUGUGGCAUUCUGGCUAUCAGGGAUACAUGCAUUUAAAUGUGUGUAUUUAAAAAAAAGGACCUCAGCCUUUUUACCUUAUAUUCUCACCAUGUAUACAGGUGAAAGAAAGGAAAUUACCAUUCUCUUAUUAACAUUCAUUUUUAAUAAAUUUUUUUUGAUAAUGAAAAAAUACAUAUUUAAAUAUAUGUGUGUGUAAAUAUACAUAUCUAAACAUGAUCACGUCUACUGCUACAAGUAGGAAGGAUCCUUACAAAGAGAAAUCGUGGUCAGUUAAGAAAAGAUAAUCUGAAUAAUAUAUGGAGUAAAAUUUCUAGAUAGAUUUGUUCUAAACUAAAUAAUAGAGGCAAAUAGAUUAGAUAAGUAAAAUAAACAUUCCCUCUACUGCUCGAAUCAGUCUUAAUGG
Molecule: long non-coding RNA, 3097 nt
Filed under: Sus scrofa (pig)
Lineage: Eukaryota; Metazoa; Chordata; Mammalia; Artiodactyla; Suidae
Description: lncRNA (ENSSSCG00000055649.1)
Source: RNAcentral